AAUGUUUAAGUCCCGGAAACGGCUCUUCAGACAAGUCCACAAUAUUGAACUUCCCAUUACAAUUGAAUAGACGCCAGAAUUUAUGCGCGCAGCUCAGCUCAUAGAAAUGCAAUCAACGUAAAUGUCAUUGGCCCGAGCCUGUUAAGAAGUAGCUGUGGGGCUGACUAAAAAGUCAUUGGGCCAACCUGUGCGCAGGUGGGGCAAAUAGGAAAGAAAAAAAAACAACGUCAGCAAAUGGGAAAACUGUUUAAGAAACAGAACUCACUGCGCUGGACGCCCCAUUGACAAGGCAGUUUUAUUGUUAGAAAAAAAAGAAGAAAAACGAGAGCUGAAAAGUGAGUCAAACAAACAAAAACACAAACAAACAAAAACACAAACGGAAGCUGGCAAACAAGCGGAAGGCUCUGCCACUCAACUAAUGGCAGCAUAAUGCGUUUAUUGUGGAAUCACGAGCACAACAACAGCCACAGCAGCAACAGACAGUCGCAGAUGUGCGACCAGUUAGUCGCCGGGAAAAGCCCAGGGAAAGCCCCGCAGUGCCACACACACCCCCAAAAGCAAGCGAAGGGCGGAGCGCGCGCGAUAACCGAGCGCAAAUGUCAACGCAAAAGUCAAUCAGUGCGAGGUGGGGCAGGGCGGGGGCAUUGAGGGUCGCAGACUGAAACUUAAUAGAACCGUGUGCGAUGCCGCCUCCUCCCCCCCCUGCGAAAAACACGCACGCACUUUUCAAUGGGGCAGCAGACAGGCGGCAGACAGCGCCGCAUUCAAAAUCAAUUCAAUUGAAAUACAUUUUUUUCAUUCA
Drosophila montana is the source of this 802-nucleotide long non-coding RNA. RefSeq lists it as uncharacterized. The record is from RefSeq and is a predicted model, not a curated record. NCBI's taxonomy places the organism in Eukaryota, Metazoa, Arthropoda, Insecta, Diptera, Drosophilidae. The transcript is spliced from 2 exons.